CAUUAUCGUACAAUGGAGGUGCUGGGGCUGUCGCUGACCUUUGAAAAAGGUCGUGCACGCCCGAGGCACACUCUCUCACAUCCAUCUCACCCCUUUGUGCAUUGCCGCGUGGGUCCCCUUUAUGGCUUGUUCCGAGGGGGGAUCUGCGUUUUUACACAGACACCCUUUAAAUGCAUGUGUAGAAUGUCUUACUUUUUGCGAUCGCACGCAAUCAAUACAACUUUCAACAACGGAUCUCUUGGCUCUCGCAUCGAUGAAGAACGCAGCGAAAUGCGAUACGUAAUGUGAAUUGCAGAAUUCAGUGAAUCAUCGAAUCUUUGAACGCACCUUGCGCCCCUUGGUAUUCCGAGGGGCACACCCGUUUGAGUGUCGUGAAUACUCUCAACCUUCUUGGUUUCUUUGAACCAGGAAGGCUUGGACUUUGGAGGUUUUUUGUUGCUGGCCUCUUUUGAAGCCAGCUCCUCCUAAAUGAAUGGGUGGGGUCCGCUUUGCUGAUCCUCGACGUGAUAAGCAUUUGUUUCUACGUCUUGGGUUUUGCGGUGUCAGCUCGGAAACCCUCGCUUUCCAACCGUCUUUUGGACAAAGACAAGGUUCGAGUUGCAACUCGACCUUACAAACCUUGACCUCAAAUCGGGUGAGACUACCCGCUGAACUUAAGCAUAUCAAUAAGCGGAGGAAAAGAAACUAACAAGGAUUCCCCUAGUAACUGCGAGUGAAGCGGGAAAAGCUCAAAUUUAAAAUCUGG
Molecule: ribosomal RNA, 745 nt
Filed under: uncultured Russulaceae
Lineage: Eukaryota; Fungi; Basidiomycota; Agaricomycetes; Russulales; Russulaceae
Description: eukaryotic LSU rRNA
Rfam family: 5.8S ribosomal RNA (bases 219-372)
Source: RNAcentral